GCCAGGUGCAGUGGCGCAUGCCUGUAAUUCCAGAGGCUGCGGAGGCUGAGACAGGAGGAUCAUAGAUUCAAAGCCAGCCUCAGCAAUGGCAAGGUGAGACCUAAGCAACUCAGUGAGACCCUGUCUCUA
RNAcentral lists this small RNA (129 nucleotides) under Marmota monax (woodchuck). Lineage: Eukaryota; Metazoa; Chordata; Mammalia; Rodentia; Sciuridae. The record is from RNAcentral.